GUUGUGAGGUUAAGCGACUAAGCGUACACGGUGGAUGCCCUGGCAGUCAGAGGCGAUGAAGGGCGUACUAAUCUGCGAUAAGCGCCGGUAAGGUGAUAUGAACCGUUAUAACCGGCGAUACCCGAAUGGGGAAACCCAGUGUGACUCGUCACACUAUCAUUAACUGAAUCCAUAGGUUAAUGAGGCGAACCGGGGGAACUGAAACAUCUAAGUACCCCGAGGAAAAGAAAUCAACCGAGAUUCCCCCAGUAGCGGCGAGCGAACGGGGAGGAGCCCAGAGCCUGAAUCAGCAUGUGUGUUAGUGGAAGCGUCUGGAAAGGCGCGCGAUACAGGGUGACAGCCCCGUACACAAAAGCGCAUGUGCUGUGAGCUCGAUGAGUAGGGCGGGACACGUGGUAUCCUGUCUGAAUAUGGGGGGACCAUCCUCCAAGGCUAAAUACUCCUGACUGACCGAUAGUGAACCAGUACCGUGAGGGAAAGGCGAAAAGAACCCCGGCGAGGGGAGUGAAAAAGAACCUGAAACCGUGUACGUACAAGCAGUGGGAGCACCCUUUG
This 555-nucleotide ribosomal RNA is filed under the name Salmonella enterica subsp. enterica serovar Enteritidis. RNAcentral's name for it is "partial 23S ribosomal RNA". It matches the Rfam family "Bacterial large subunit ribosomal RNA", at positions 1 to 588 of the family's 2925-position model. The record is from RNAcentral. Lineage: Bacteria; Pseudomonadati; Pseudomonadota; Gammaproteobacteria; Enterobacterales; Enterobacteriaceae.